UUGACCCCUCCCCCCCGAGAUAUCAAUGGGACUACAUUUCCCAGAAUCCACUAGAAGCUAGGGUGUUUAGCCAUGUUGAAUGUCUGACCUGAGGCUGGGGUCGGAGCUUCCCAGGUUGAGCAGGGCGAGGUUCAGCAGGGUACCCGGCACAUCUUUGGGCCUGAUCUUGGUGUGCUGGGGGAUGGAGUCUGGCUGUGAGAGCUCCCAGCGCGUCCUGAUGUGGAUGAUGGACUGGACGAUGGCAUCACACUCCUGGUGCAUGAAGGUGAGGGGUGUGCCCUGGUUGGCCAUGGUCAGGGUGAACUGGGUCUCGUCCACCAGGCAGAUCUCCUCGAUUUCAGAGGCAUAGUACACAUCAUUGAGGAACACCGACUGACCCAGGACACGGGUACGCUCUGCUGAUGUCACCUGGACGGCCGUGGAGCCCACCUGGGAUAAUAGGGAGGGUUGUUGUUGAGAUAAGUGUGUACAUGUCAACAAUGACAACACAGACCAGUUGUCUCAUGUUGCUACACAAAGCAGGACUCAACAGCCAAUCAAUUCAACCUUCUACUUUCCCUUCGGCAACAAACUAAUCUAUAUAAAUUGAUUGAGGCCCAGAGAAGUAAAAAAUUUUAUUUUCCUGUGUUAUAUAUAAACUCAGCAAAAAAAGAAACAACCUCUCACUGUCAACUGCGUUUGUUUUCAGCAAACUUAACACGUGUAAAUAUUUGUAUGAUCAUAAGAUUCAACAACUGAGACGUAAACUGAACAAGUUCCACAGACAUGUGACUAACAGAAAUGGAAUAAUGUGUCCCUGAACAAAUGGGGGGGGGGUCAAAAUCAAAAGUAACAGUAAAUGCAGCUGGUGGCCACACCAGAUACUAAAUACUGCAUUGCAUCUCCUCAUCAUCAUGGACUGCACCAGAUUUGCCAGUUCUUGCUGUGAGAUGUUACCCCACUCUUCCACCAAAGCACCUGCAAGUUCCCGGACAUUUCUGGGGGGAAUGGCCCAAGACCUUAUCCUCCAAUCCAACAGGUCCCAGACGUGCUCAGUGGGAUUGAGAUCCGGGCUCUUCGAUGGCCAUGGCAGAACACUGACAUUCCUGUCUUGCAGGAAAUCACGCACAGAAUGAGCAGUAUGGCUGUUGGCAUUGUCAUGCUGGAAGAUCAUGUUAGUAUGAGCCUGCAGGAAGGGUACCACAUGAGGGAGGAGGAUGUCUUCCCUCUAGCGCACAGCGUUGAGAUUGCCUGCAAUGACAACAAGCUCAGUCCGUUGAUGCUGUGACACACCGCCCCAGACCAUGACGGACCCUCCACCUCCUUGCAGCAUGCCUAAGGCACGUUCACGCAGAUGAGCAGGGACCCUGGGCAUCUUUCUUUUGGUGUCAGUAGAAAGGCCUCUUUAGCGUCCUAAGUUUUCAUAACUGACCUUAAUUGCCUACCGUCUGUAACUUGUUAAUGUCUUAACGACCGUUCCACAGGUGCAUGUUAAUGAAUUGUUUAUGGUUCACUGAACAAGCAUGGGAAACAGUGUUUAAACUCUUUACAAUAAAGAUCUGUGAAGUUAUUUGGAUUUUUACAAAAUGAUCUUUGAAAGACCAGGUCCUGAAAAAGGGCUGUUUCUUUUUUUUGCUGAGUUUAUAUAAAUAUGUAUAUUUCUACACUGAGGUUGGAAUAACACUGUAAAAUUGUGAAAAUGAUGAAGCCCUUUGAAUGUAAGAGCUGUUUGAAAAGACUACCUGAAAUUUCAGCCUGUUUUGGUGCGACAGAGAUGUGACCUUUCCAUGCUGUAAAUGAGUUAAUAGACCAACAAUAAUUUCAGUUGUUUUCCCCUGCCCACUUGGACCACUCCCAGACAGUUCUAUCAAAAUGAAUGCUGAGAACUUGCCCUUUGCUAAGAACUUUUUUUGACAAUAUACACUGCUCAAAAAAAUAAAGGGAACACUAAAAUAACACAUCCUAGAUCUGAAUUAAUUAAAUAUUCUUAUUAAAUACUUUUUUCUUGACAUAGUUGAAUGUGCUGACAACAAAAUCACACAAAAAUUAUCAAUGGAAAUCAAAUUUAUCAACCCAUGGAGGUCUGGAUUUGGAGUCACACUCAAAAUUAAAGUGGAAAACCACACUAAGGCUGAUCCAACUUUGAUGUAAUGUCCUUAAAACAAGUCCAAAUGAGGCUCAGUAGUGUGUGUGGCCUCCACGUGCCUGUAUGACCUCCCUACAACGCCUGGGCAUGCUCCUGAUGAGGUGGCGGAUGGUCUCCUGAGGGAUCUCCUCCCAGACCUGGACUAAAGCAUCCGCCAAUUCCUGGACAGUCUGUGGUGCAACGUGGUGUUGGUGGAUGGAGCAAGACAUGAUGUCCCAGAUGUGCUCAAUUGGAUUCAGGUCUGGGGAACGGGCGGGCCAGUCCAGUCCAUAGCAUCAAUGCCUUCCUCUUGCAGGAACUGCUGACACACUCCAGCCACAUGAGGUCUAGCAUUGUCUUGCAUUAGGAGGAACCCAGGGCCAACCGCACCAGUAUACGGUCUCACAAGGGGUUUGAGGAUCUCAUCUCGGUACCUAAUGGCAGUCAGGCUACCUCUGGCGAGUACAUGGAGGGCUGUGCCGCCCCCCAAAGAAAUGCCACCCCACACCAUGACUGACCCACCGCCAAACCGGUCAUGCUGGAGGAUGUUGCAGGCAGCAGAACGUUCUCCACGGCAUCUCCAGACUCUGUCACGUCUGUCAGUGUGAACCUGCUUUCAUCUGUGAAGAGCACAGGGCGCCAGUGGCGAAUUUGCCAAUCUUGGUGUUCUCUGGCAAAUGCCAAACGUCCUGCACGGUGUUGGGCUGUAAGCACAACCCCCACCUGUGGACGUUGGGCCCCCAUACCACCCUCAUGGAGUCUGUUUCUGACCGUUUGAGCAGACACAUGCACAUUUGUGGCCUGCUGGAGGUCAUUUUGCAGGGCUCUGGCAGUGCUCCUCCUGCUCCUCCUUGCACAAAGGCGGAGGUAGCGGUCCUGCUGCUGGGUUGUUGCCCUUCUACGGCCUCCUCCACGUCUCCUGGUAGCGCCUCCAUGCUCUGGACACUACGUUGAAAGACACAGCAAACCUUCUUGCCACAGCUCGCAUUGAUGUGCCAUCCUGGAUGAGCUGCACUACCUGAGCCACUUGUGUGGGUUGUAGACUCCGCCUCAUGCUACCACUAGAGUGAAAACACCGCCAGCAUACAAAAAGUGACCAAAACAUCAGCCAGGAAGCAUAGGAACUGAGAAGUGGUCUGUGGUCACCACCUGCAGAAACACUCCUUUAUUGGGGGUGUCUUGCUAAUUGCCUAUAUUUCCACCUGUUGUCUAUUCCAUUUGCACAACAGCAUGUGAAAUGUAUUGUCAAUCAGUGUUGCUUCCUAAGUGGACAGUUUGAUUUCACAGAAGUGUGAUUGACUUGGAGUUACAUUGUGUUGUUUAAGUGUUCCCUUUAUUUUUUUGAGCAGUGUAUGUAUGUUUAUUUUUAAACUUUUACCCCUUUUCUUCCCAAUUUUGUGGUAUCCAAUUGGUAGUUACAGUCUUGUCCCAUCCCUGCAACUUAGGACUCGGGAGAAUCGAAGGUCGAGAGCCAUGCGUCCUCUGAAACACGACCCUAUCAAGCUGCUCUUCUUCUUGACACACUGCUUGCUUAACCCGGAAGCCAGCCUCACCAAUGUGUCAGAGGAAACACAGUACAACUGGAGACCGAAGUCAGCUUACAGGUGGUUAGCCCGCCACAAGGAGUCGCUAGAGCGUGAUGGGACAAGGACAUCCUGGUCGGCCAAACCCUCCCCUAACCCGGACGACAAUGGGCCAAUUGUGCGCCGCCUCAUGGGUUUCCCAGUCACAGCUGGCUGUGUAGUGACGCUUCAAGCACUGCCAUGCAGUGCCUUAGACCGCUGUGCCACUCGGGGGGCCCUUUUUGACCCUUUUAGUUCAAAACAAUCACAGUAAGGUACUUAAUUAUUACCCAGAAAUGAUUUGAUAGAGAUUAAAAUAAACAGCUCCAUUGGACCUUUGAGUAAACAAUUCUCCCUGUUCCCACGUGCCCUUCAUACUACCCAGUUGUCCUUAUAGGCCAGUUUGAAAGUUAGGGUUACACAAGGACCACUGUGCUACUGACCUUGAUGGAGACCUUGGUGUCCUUGUGGGCCAGUUUGAGGGCGUUGUGGAACACCUUGAGGUCCUCUUCCAGGGCCAGCGUGGCCGCUGGGAGUUUCUGCUGCUCUGCCUCUACGUGCUCCGCCAACCGUGCUGGCGAGUCGAUGAACUGCACCCGCUUGCUGCCCUUCAGGCCUGUCAGCAGCCUCUCAUGGUAUUUGGUGUACUCCCUCACCCAUGUGUUGCAGUUGUACACGUAGACCGCCGUCACGUUCUUGUAUGCGAAGCCCGGGAACACCACAAACCACUUGGACAAGAAGUCUGUCUUGAAGCGGUUGCUGGGACCCACGUGGGUCAGGUCCACUAUGAUAUCGUAGGGCUUGGCAUAGUAAGGCUUCAGGGUAAGCAGCACAUGGUAGAUUAGAAGAUCUCCGUUGAUCUGGCCUGUCUUAAACCUGCGGGAAGAGAAGGAAAAGAGAAGUUGAGGAUAGGUCUGAUGGAAGAGGAGGUGGUAGAGGUUGAGGAUAGGUCUGAUGGAAGAGGAGGUGGUAGAGGUUGAGGAUAGGUCUGAUGGAAGAGGAGGUGGUUAGAAGUUGAGGAUAGGUCUGAUGGAAGAGGAGGUGGUAGAUGUUGAGGAUAGGUCUGAUGGAAGAGGUGGUGGUAGAUGUUGAGGAUAGGUCUGAUGGAAGAGGUGGUGGUAGAUGUUGAGGAUAGGUCUGAUGGAAGAGGUGGUGGUAGAUGUUGAGGAUAGGUCUGAUGGAAGAGGUGGUGGUAGAUGUUGAGGAUAGGUCUGAUGGAAGGGGAGGUGUUAGAGGUUGAGGAUAGGUCUGAUGGAAGAGGAGGUGGUUAGAAGUUGAGGAUAGGUCUGAUGGAAGAGGAGGUAGAAAGUGCACUUCUCUGCCAGCCAGGUCAACCUCUAAAAAGAAAGACCUUUACCGGUUAAAUACAUCCAAAAAGACACAGGUAUUUUCUGGUCUCUUUAAUUUAGAUAGAACAGUCUGACGGUGGAGUCAUACAGGUAAGAAUAUAAAUUCAUCCCAUUCUGAAAGCACUUCAUACACAAUGUUCUUUUUUGUUACAGGCUCGACUGAAAUAGAGAUCUUGGUCUCAGCAUAACCAUUAUUAUACAUGUCAUUUACUGGUAGCUGGCAGUCUCAGACUGAAUUGUAGGCCUAAACUACUUUAAAUACACCCUUCUCUGUCUCUUUCCUCUUGCAGCAUAUGAGACAUCUGUAUGCUGUAGCGGUGGAGGUCCAAGGAGCCUAGAAAUAACUAAGUCAGAAAAAGACCCGAGGGGGGAUAGGAAGUGUGUGCAUCUCAAGAGGCUGGGUCGUAGCAGGUGCUUCCUCUGACAAACACACACGACAGACCGCUCCUUAUACUGACAUCUUCCUAGUCCAGUUAACCUUGUCACUCUUGCUCUUUCUCUCACACACAAGCGCUCUAAGGCUGUGCCCUUGCCCAGGUAAGAGAUGCCCAUACAAUCUCCAACAUACAUUGUAUAAAAAAAAGGAAUGACCAAAUAAUGUGUUUUUGUGAUAAGAUUCAGUUUAUUUUAGUGGACAUCGCAAUGAAAACGACAAAACCAUGAUUUGUAAAAAUGUUUACUAAAAGAGGUCUAGCUUAUUCUGAAAUGUAUUGUAUGCAUCACCUUCCUGAAAGGUAUUGCAUAGAACUAACUUGCUAGAAGUUAUUAUUUAUGGUAAACAAAGUGUAUUGAUCUACUUCAGUAACACAUUGAUUACUUCAUUUUGAGUAAACUGUACUGUGACAGUGAGUGAUAGACUUAACUGGGCUAGUUAGAUAUUUUUUUAAUAAAUCACAUCUUGUUUUAGCAGGUUAAUGAUAAUGGCAGGGAGAAGUAAUCUUUUUAGAAAUGAAUAGAUUUGCGAGACAGUUUUCCAUUAUUUUUUACCUCCCCACAUUAUAAUUGGAAGAGAAAGUGUAAACUAUAACAUAGCCUAUUGCUAGAAAGGUAACUCCAAACACAUUUUCACUAAUAGCAGCUGCUUAUCUGGUUAAACAAAAGUUAGCCAUGUGUUGGCAAAAAUGUCCAAGUCAAGAAAGCCUACCAGCAGCUACGACUGGUACUCACGGGUGCUUUUUCAAAGCCUAUGUCAUAGACUCCAGUGAGUGUAAUGAGCUCCAAUGAGUGUAAUUUGCUCAAUAUUAGGAGUUGAGAAAUAAAGUUAUUAGAAAGAAGAUAUUCUCCUCUUUUUUACAGAACAAAAGAAAAAAAGAAAACGGCACCCUGCAAUAACUCUGCGGACUCCAAGCAAAUAGAAACUGAAGAAUGGAAGGCUCCAGAAUGUCUCUCCAUCUUCUCUUCUUCCUUCUGAUUGGACAAGCUUCACACACCAGCAUUACUCAGCCUCAGACCACUAAUGCCAUAUAUCCAACUGACAUAACCUCAAUUACCCAAGAGGAAAAUGACACCUCCAGCUCUCCCACAAAGGCCACCACGGGCUGCCUCAUCAAGCCCCAGUUGGGCUUCAUAGUGGUGACCUGCGCCGGGGGCCUGGUCCUGUUUCUGCUCGUCUCUACUGUGGUCCUGGCCUCCCAGGUGUGCAGUCUUAGGCGCCAAGCCCGUGCCCCUCGCCCCGCCCGCAGUAACGUGGACCUGGUGAGUGGCGCGGGCUACUGGGACACAGAGCACUCUGAGGGGGGCAUAGUGGGGCCCUGUGAUACCAGUGUCAUGUUGGAGGAGGUCCGUUUGGAUGGAGAAGAGGAUGAAGAGCAGGGGGAAGAAGAGGAGGAGGAAAGGGAGGAGGAGCAGGCAGAAGGGGUCAGAUGCCAAACAGGGGAUGCGAGAACAACUGGCGAAAUAGCCAUGCAGAUGCAGAGUUCCAGCUCCAGGGAUUUGUGUCUGGAAAUCCCCCAGGAUCUAGAGAACAUGCCCCUAGUGGUGUGAGUAGAGCAUUGCAUGCACUCCCUCUCCAGCCUCAGAGAGCCAUGGCCUGGCUCAGAGCUGAACUUCACUCAGGCAUAGAUAUCAACAGGCCAGAUCAGCUCCAGUCUUGUGCCUCAAGUCAAAACAAAGAGUAUUUGUUAUUUUUUUAAUAAGUACUCGAGCUAUAUGUAAUCAAUUUUAGGAGCUUUUACAUAUUUGCUUUGUAAACUGCAUUAAUCUGAUUUGGAAUGAUUUUGUCUCAAAUUUAUUUCUAUAGAGAACAUUUGAAUAGGCUGUUGGGAGCAGCAAGACAUUAAUUUGAAAUAAUGUGCUACGAACAGCACACUACUGCCAACUGCCCAAGUUAAUUAAGCUUACAGCUUACUACGAAGGUUCAGGAUCUUUGUACGGGGGGGGGGGGUCACUUAUAUUUUACAUUUGAGUCAUUUAGCAGACGCUCUUAUCCAGAGUGACUUACAGGAGCAACUAGGGUAAAUUACCUUGCUCAAGGGCAUAUUGACAAAUUAAAAACAGUGACCUUUCGGUUACUGGCCCAAAGCUCUUAACUGCCAAAUUCAAUCAUAUUAGCAGUACACUAUGCCAACUUCCCUUAAUGGCAGAGGUGUAACAAAGUGUAACAAAAAGGUAUUAAGCUUACGUAGAAAGUAUAUUUUGUUGAAGAUUGAAAUGAUAGAAACUCAACUCCAAUAUGUAAUAGAAUGGAAGCCCCCCCCCCAUCUCUAUUGACACUGUAGGCUAAAAGAUUCCUUCUCAGCAAACAAGCACUCAAACAUUGUCUACCAUAUAUAUAACUGAAUGUGGUGGCUUCUCCCCAAGACAUUAAAUGUCAAACAUUGUAUAAUAUAUGUUGUCCAAUCUAAACUGUCCUAUCUACCUGUAUUAAAAAAAUAUAAUAAUAAAACACACUCAAAUAUGCCAACAUGCUUGCUGGUCAGAUGUGAGUUCAGUUAAAAUGAUUACUUUCCACCAACUUGAUGUGAACUUCCUUUCCUUUAUCUGAAGUGAUUCCAUGCACAAAUACUAUACCAAGGGUAAACUUUGAACAUCUUGUUGCCAUCGGUGGCUGGGCACAGAGAUAGCAUUGGGCCUGCCAAGCCUACUUGUUACAUUAAUAAGUCUUCCCCUCAACCUUCACGUGUCAGUCGAGCAGUCACAGAACACCUAACUCAUUUGUUUCCACUCCUCUCUACUAAGGCUAACUUCUUUUCUCUUUUCUGUAAAAAUACAAUAUUUGUUUAAAUGCCACAACCCAAAUAAAUGGAGGUUUUGUGAACAGGUGUGAAUGAAUGGCAUUCUUGUUUUGAAUCGAUGGAGUAAGAACACAAGUGUUUAGACAACAGUUUCAGAA
Oncorhynchus tshawytscha (Chinook salmon) is the source of this 8346-nucleotide long non-coding RNA. The record is from Ensembl. NCBI's taxonomy places the organism in Eukaryota, Metazoa, Chordata, Actinopteri, Salmoniformes, Salmonidae.